Eptesicus fuscus (big brown bat) is the source of this 260-nucleotide long non-coding RNA. RefSeq lists it as uncharacterized. The record is from RefSeq and is a predicted model, not a curated record. NCBI's taxonomy places the organism in Eukaryota, Metazoa, Chordata, Mammalia, Chiroptera, Vespertilionidae. The transcript has 3 exons.
GUUUUCUUCCACCCAGGCGUUAUCAAAGACUCUAUUAGAUGGGGAAAAUAAAACAGACAUGAGAGGAAGAGGACUGGACUAUGAAGUCAGAACAGUAUUGUGAUCACCCAGUGCUGAGAUGCUCAGAACUGUUUGCCUUGCUUCAGAAACAAAAGUUGGCUCAGCUGAUAUAGACUGACUCUUCGUUGCAAGUCAUCCUUGUACUACUGGUAUUGACUUACAUUUAUACCUACCAAAAUACAUUUGUGUAGUCAUAAUCA